CCUUCGAUAGCUCAGUUGGUAGAGCGGUGGACUGUAGUAUUAAAUUAGCAAACGUAUUAAACAGGAAUCCAUAGGUCGCUGGUUCAAAUCCGGCUCGAAGGA
Non-coding RNA from Glossina fuscipes fuscipes, 102 nucleotides. The record is from Rfam. NCBI's taxonomy places the organism in Eukaryota, Metazoa, Arthropoda, Insecta, Diptera, Glossinidae.